GACGAACGCUGGCGGCGUGCUUAACACAUGCAAGUCGAACGGAAAGGCCCUGCUUUUGUGGGGUGCUCGAGUGGCGAACGGGUGAGUAACACGUGAGUAACCUGCCCUUGACUUUGGGAUAACUUCAGGAAACUGGGGCUAAUACCGGAUAGGAGCUCCUGCUGCAUGGUGGGGGUUGGAAAGUUUCGACGGUUGGGGAUGGACUCGCGGCUUAUCAGCUUGUUGGUGGGGUAGUGGCUUACCAAGGCUUUGACGGGUAGCCGGCCUGAGAGGGUGACCGGCCACAUUGGGACUGAGAUACGGCCCAGACGCCUACGGGAGGCAGCAGUGGGGAAUAUUGCACAAUGGGCGGAAGCCUGAUGCAGCAACGCCGCGUGCGGGAUGACGGCCUUCGGGUUGUAAACCGCUUUCGCCUGUGACGAAGCGUGAGUGACGGUAAUGGGUAAAGAAGCACCGGCUAACUACGU
This 467-nucleotide ribosomal RNA is filed under the name uncultured bacterium. Its description in RNAcentral is "partial 16S ribosomal RNA". It matches the Rfam family "Bacterial small subunit ribosomal RNA", at positions 28 to 506 of the family's 1533-position model. The record is from RNAcentral.